CAGAUGAUCGAUAGUGAACAUACUGGGCACUAUAAUUUCUCAUCUGAGAAAACAAGCCAGAAUUUUGA
Molecule: non-coding RNA, 68 nt
Organism: Zea mays
Lineage: Eukaryota; Viridiplantae; Streptophyta; Magnoliopsida; Poales; Poaceae
Source: Rfam